CAUACCUCUACAAGUCUAUGUGAAUAUAUGUGUGUGUGUUUUAUAGUAGGUGUGAACAGGUUUAGUUACAAUCAAAACAAUGUACAAGACACAUCUUGUGGAUAAGCUGGGAUGCAUCAUCAGUGAUGUGACCUUCAGGCAUUAGGUGAUGCAGGUAUUUAACUGACAGCCAUUCUCACCCACAUCACCCAACCAGGACUGACCAGGCCUUGACUCACAUCCUAGCAACAACCUAAGGAUCACUCCUUCUAUUUCAAAGCUCCUUAGUGGCUUUCACUAGUAUCUUACUUCCACAGUGAAUUAACUCACUUCUUUGUCUUAACUCUAAAGCUAAUUUGGCUGAGGAAUUGUUGUGUAAGAAACUUGCUUCCCAACCACAUGGUUCUAGGUUCAGCCCUAUGGCAUGGCAUACAGACACGUCACCCCUAAAGUAGUUCUUGGGGAGAUUCAGUGUGACACAGAAGUGUGACAAGGCUGGCCCUUUGAAAUACAGGUACAACAGAAACAGGAAGAAAGAGUGAGAGAAAGUUGUAGUGAAAGAGUACAGCGGAGUUCGCCUCCACCCCUGCCAGAGUCUCAUGGAGCUGUAGGUGUUUUCACUCAAUGAACACUCACAAUGCCUGGUCUGGAGAUCGAAACUUUGAUCCUAUGACGGUGAGUCUGCCACCCUAACCAAUGGCCCAUUGUGCCUCCACACACACAUAUAUAUGUGUAUGUAUGUAUUUAUGUCUGUGUUUGCAUUUGUGCUCCUCACCAAGCCAUUGCUU
This is a long non-coding RNA of Octopus sinensis (East Asian common octopus), 767 nucleotides long. RefSeq lists it as uncharacterized. The transcript has 3 exons. The record is from RefSeq and is a predicted model, not a curated record. NCBI's taxonomy places the organism in Eukaryota, Metazoa, Mollusca, Cephalopoda, Octopoda, Octopodidae.